This 253-nucleotide ribosomal RNA is filed under the name uncultured bacterium. Its description in RNAcentral is "partial 16S ribosomal RNA". It matches the Rfam family "Bacterial small subunit ribosomal RNA", at positions 524 to 776 of the family's 1533-position model. The record is from RNAcentral.
UACGAAGGGUGCAAGCGUUAAUCGGAAUUACUGGGCGUAAAGCGUGCGUAGGCGGUUUCUUAAGUCCGUUGUGAAAGCCCUGGGCUCAACCUGGGAACUGCGAUGGAUACUGUCGGGCUAGAGUGCGGAAGAGGCGAGUGGAAUUCCUGGUGUAGCGGUGAAAUGCGCAGAUAUCAGGAGGAACACCAAUUGCGAAGGCAGCUCGCUGGGACGUAACUGACGCUGAGACGCGAAAGCGUGGGGAGCAAACAGG